AUUGAACGCUGGCGGCAGGCCUAACACAUGCAAGUCGAACGCGUGGCGGACGGGUGAGUAAUGUCUGGGAAUCUGCCUGAUGGAGGGGUAUCACUACUGGAAAGUAUAGCUAAUCCCGCAUACUAUCGGAUGUGCCCAGAGGGGAUUAGCUAGUAUGUGGGGUAAAGGCACACCUAGGCGACGAUCCCUAGCUGGUCUGAGAGGAUGACCAGCCACACUGGAACUGAGACACGGUCCAGACUCCUACGGGAGGCAGCAGUGGGGAAUAUUGCACAAUGGGCGCAAGCCUGAUGCAGCCAUGCCGCGUGUAUGAAGAAGGCCUUCGGGUUGUAAAGUACUUUCAGCGGGGAGGCGUUACCCGCAGAAGAAGCACCGGCUAACUCCGUGCCAGCCGCCGCGGUAAUUC
This 406-nucleotide ribosomal RNA is filed under the name uncultured bacterium. RNAcentral's name for it is "partial 16S ribosomal RNA". It matches the Rfam family "Bacterial small subunit ribosomal RNA", at positions 30 to 526 of the family's 1533-position model. The record is from RNAcentral.